UCAAAAGAUAAACUCCAAGCAUGCCAGUGUAUGAGGAAGAGUAUUUCGUGAAGACUGGAUUUCCUCAGUGACUUACAGUGGAAACAGAGACAGGAGGUCAUGAAAAUUAGUUGCUAGCUUCCCACUAGCCUGAGAGGAGUGGGCUAUACUCCAGGGCAUUGGACAAAUAACUGAACAUCACUUAACCAUUUCAAACUAAGGCAAAAUGCACUGGAACGCCUGCCCGAUUCCGCACUUCACACCCCUUCCUCUGGAGUAUCUUCAGGAUUCCAGCCUGAGUCCCUGACCUCUGAGCCUCACCCACAGAACACUCUCCUCAGAGGUCCCCUAGGACAAAGGCCAUGCCACCUUCCGGUUGCGGUGACUGGGGGACGCUGCUUGGUUUCCUGGCAACUACUGCUCUGUUUUUUUACCUGUGGCUCCAGAGGAAGUCAGAAACCUGUCCAGCCCAGAUCUCCGUGAACGCCUCUGCUGCAGCUCACCUAACCCGGCCAGGGACCAGGAGCCCAUGGAAAGCAAUGAUGAGUACUGAGGAAAGAUGUAGGGAUGAGGUCUGGAGCACCCAUCUGAAGAUUUAGGCAGUGCUUAUUUUUUAAAUUAAGCAGAGCACCUCGGAACACGUCUCAGAGGCAAAGAUUCCUCUGCUGUCUAUUUAGAGGUGAAGAAAGAACAGCCCACAGCAGCCUCAGCUGAGCAGCAGUAAAAGGAACCUGUAGUUGGAGCUCUUCUUAAGAAGUCUGAAAAUCAGGAGUUCCCAUCGUGGCACGCGGAAACAAAUCCGACUAGGAACCAUGAGGUUGAGGGUUCGAUCCCUGGCCUUGCUCAGGGGGUUGGGGAUCCGGCGUUGCUGUGAGCUGUGGUGUAGGUCACAGACAUGGCUUGGAUCUGGCAUUGCUGUGGCUGUGGGGUAGGCUGACAGUUGUAGCUCCGAUUAGACCUCUAGCCUGGGACCCUGCAUAUGCUGCAGGUGCGGCCCUAAAAAGACAAAAAAAAAAAAGUCUGAAAAUCAGAUAAUAACAGAUCUUCAGACUUGGUAAUGGUAUUUAUUCUGGAGCUGAAUCUCAGCUUCUGCUUUCAAAUGGUGCAUGUGCUCCCCAAUUAACCACAGUAUCUGCCGCUUGGUAUUGUUUCCUUGAAUCUGAGCCAAGUGACAGCUGCCAUUUAGUCCCUCAAACAUCCAAUUAUUUACUCACAAUAGACUUAAGAAAAGAGUGCCUCUUUUACCCAUGUCUCUGGCAAAAGUAGGAAAAUAAAAGACAGAAAAAGAAGAGUCUGUGGUUUCAAGAAGAGAUCAUUUCCUUGUAAAAGUAAAAAGUAUUCCUAUAUAUAUGCAAAUAAAGUGUGUCUUUGUUGAUUAAAUACAAAUAAAGAUACCAUUAUAAAACAUAUUAUAGCAAGAAUUAUGAUAGGCUAGAGGAAGAUGCAUGUUGAAGAAAUUAAUGAACUAAAAAAUAAAGAACUGAACUUUAAA
RNAcentral lists this long non-coding RNA (1471 nucleotides) under Sus scrofa (pig). RNAcentral's name for it is "lncRNA (ENSSSCG00005010347.1)". Lineage: Eukaryota; Metazoa; Chordata; Mammalia; Artiodactyla; Suidae. The record is from RNAcentral.